RNAcentral lists this ribosomal RNA (442 nucleotides) under uncultured Clostridium sp. RNAcentral's name for it is "bacterial SSU rRNA". It matches the Rfam family "Bacterial small subunit ribosomal RNA", at positions 338 to 797 of the family's 1533-position model. Lineage: Bacteria; Bacillati; Bacillota; Clostridia; Eubacteriales; Clostridiaceae. The record is from RNAcentral.
CCUACGGGCGGCUGCAGUGGGGAAUAUUGCACAAUGGGCGAAAGCCUGAUGCAGCAACGCCGCGUGAGUGAUGAAGGUCUUCGGAUUGUAAAGCUCUGUCUUCUGGGACGAUAAUGACGGUACCAGAGGAGGAAGCCACGGCUAACUACGUGCCAGCAGCCGCGGUAAUACGUAGGUGGCGAGCGUUGUCCGGAAUUACUGGGCGUAAAGGAUGCGUAGGCGGAUAUUUAAGUCAGAUGUGAAACCCCCAGGCUUAACUUGGGGACUGCAUUUGAAACUGGAUAUCUAGAGUGCAGGAGAGGUAAGUGGAAUUCCUAGUGUAGCGGUGAAAUGCGUAGAGAUUAGGAAGAACACCAGUGGCGAAGGCGGCUUACUGGACUGUAACUGACGCUGAGGCAUGAAAGCGUGGGUAGCAAACAGGAUUAGAUACCCCAGUAGUCCA